RNAcentral lists this ribosomal RNA (484 nucleotides) under uncultured bacterium. RNAcentral's name for it is "partial 16S ribosomal RNA". It matches the Rfam family "Bacterial small subunit ribosomal RNA", at positions 30 to 507 of the family's 1533-position model. The record is from RNAcentral.
AUUGAACGCUGGCGGCAGGCCUAACACAUGCAAGUCGAGCGGAUGAAGGGAGCUUUCUCCUGGAUUCCGCGGCGGACGGGUGAGUAAUGCCUACGAAUCUGCCUGGUAGUGGGGGAUAACGUCCGUAAACGGGCGCUAAUACCGCAUACGUCCUGAUGGAGAACGUGGGGGAUCUUCGGACCUCGCGCUAUCAGCUGAGCCUAGGUCGGAUUAGCUAGUUGGUGGGGUAACGGCCUACCAAGGCGACGAUCCGUAACUGGUCUGAGAGGAUGAUCAGUCACACUGGAACUGAGACACGGUCCAGACUCCUACGGGAGGCAGCAGUGGGGAAUAUUGGACAAUGGGCGAAAGCCUGAUCCAGCAAUGCCGCGUGUGUGAAGAAGGUCUUCGGAUUGUAAAGCACUUUAAGUUGGGAGGAAGGGCAGUAAGUUAAUACCUGGCUGUUUUGACGUUACCAACAGAGUAAGCACCGGCUAACUUCGUG